Molecule: ribosomal RNA, 1116 nt
Filed under: Spinibarbichthys denticulatus
Lineage: Eukaryota; Metazoa; Chordata; Actinopteri; Cypriniformes; Cyprinidae
Description: Spinibarbus denticulatus partial large subunit ribosomal RNA
Rfam family: Bacterial large subunit ribosomal RNA (bases 186-1095)
Source: RNAcentral
AGCAACAGCUAGCUUACCACCCAAUAGUUGAACAAUAUAAAUAAAACAAAAUAAGCCCAACACCAAAAAUUAAACCAUUCUUUUACCUGAGUAUGGGAGACAGAAAAGGUUCUACCCAAAGCAAUAGAGACAGUACCGCAAGGGAAAGCUGAAAGAGAAAUGAAAUAACCCAUAUAAGCACAAAAAAGCAAAGAUUAAACCUUGUACCUUUUGCAUCAUGAUUUAGCCAGUACACCCAAGCAAAGAGACCUUUAGUUUGAAACCCCGAAACCAGGUGAGCUACCCCGAGACAGCCUAUUAAGGGCCAACCCGUCUCUGUGGCAAAAGAGUGGGAAGAGCUCCGGGUAGAAGUGACAGACCUACCGAACCUGGUGAUAGCUGGUUGCCUAAGAAAUGAAUAGAAGUUCAGCCUCGUACCCCCCCAAUCAAAAACACAAACAAGACACUAAGAGAAAUACACGAGAGUUAGUUAAAGGGGGUACAGCCCCUUUAACAAAGGACACAACCUUUCCAGGAGGAUAAAGAUCAUAAUACAUAAAACAUACUGUUCUAGUGGGCCUAAAAGCAGCCACCUAAACAGAAAGCGUUAAAGCUCAGACAGAAAGAAGUUUAUUAUUCUGAUAAAAAAUCUUACUCCCCUAAAUACUAUUAGGCCAACCCAUGCCCACAUGGAAAAGACUAUGCUAAAAUGAGUAACAAGAAGGCCCGCCCUUCUCCAAGCACAAGUGUAAGCCAAACCGGACCAACCAUUGGCAACUAACGAACUCAACCCAAGAGAGCAAUGUGGACUACAAAAAGACCAAGAAAAAACCACAACCAAACUAUCGUUAUCCCCACACUGGAGUGCUAUUUAAAGGAAAGACUAAAAGAAAAGGAAGGAACUCGGCAAACACAAGCCUCGCCUGUUUACCAAAAACAUCGCCUCCUGCAACACAACCAAGUAUAGGAGGUCCAGCCUGCCCAGUGACUACAAGUUCAACGGCCGCGGUAUUUUGACCGUGCAAAGGUAGCGCAAUCACUUGUCUUUUAAAUAGAGACCUGUAUGAAUGGCUAAACGAGGGCUUAACUGUCUCCCCUUUCAAGUCAGUGAAAUUGAUCUACCCGUGCAGAAGCGGU